ACACCUCAACUCUCAUGGUUUGCCAUGAUGAGCUUGGACUUUGGGGGUCUUGCUGGCCUGUCGUCAGCUCCUCUCAAACGAAUCAGCUUGCCAGUGUUUGGUGGCAUCGCGGGUGUGAUAACUAUCUACACUUGUGGUUCUCCACCAGAUAACCUUCAGCGAUGAAGGUUCACUGAAGCUCACAAAUGUCUCUCCUCGGCGAGGACAGCUUUCUGAAC
This 218-nucleotide unclassified non-coding RNA is filed under the name uncultured Thelephoraceae. RNAcentral describes it as "sequence contains ITS2". The record is from RNAcentral. Lineage: Eukaryota; Fungi; Basidiomycota; Agaricomycetes; Thelephorales; Thelephoraceae.